CAUUACAUCCACAGAUAUGUUGACUUUUAGUGUAUCGCUUGUACACUGAGAAAAAGUGUAAAUUACAUAACACAGUCUCCCAAAUCAAAACACGAUAGUUAAUCUUCCAUGUUUACGAUAGUAUCAUAAGAUAAUAAGACAAUUCUAAGAUACACCCUGAAACAUGGAUAAUAGAUAGAAAGUACAGUCAAAUUAAUACCUUUUCUCCUUUUUUGACAAUGACGAGAGCGAGUACUGAAAGGUUGGAAUCGACUAUGCAUCCACGGACAGAUUUACGUUUACGCUCACCAUCACGUCUAGGAUGUUUGAUAAAUAAAUACUACCAACUGAUCAUUGAACAAGUAAGAUUUAUUAUCUUGAAGUCAAUAAUAAAUC
RNAcentral lists this unclassified non-coding RNA (375 nucleotides) under Bombus terrestris (buff-tailed bumblebee). Its description in RNAcentral is "misc RNA ENSBTSG00005032877.1". Lineage: Eukaryota; Metazoa; Arthropoda; Insecta; Hymenoptera; Apidae. The record is from RNAcentral.